Non-coding RNA from Acanthosepion pharaonis, 107 nucleotides. The record is from the annotation of a GenBank genome assembly. NCBI's taxonomy places the organism in Eukaryota, Metazoa, Mollusca, Cephalopoda, Sepiida, Sepiidae.
AGCCAUAUCACAUUGAAACACUGGUUCUCAUACGAUCACUGAAGUUAAGCAACAUUGAGCCUAGUCAGUACCUAGAUGGGUGAUUACUUGGGAAUACCAGGUGAUGU